UAGAGAUACAUUUUGGAGAGAGGAAUCAUUUGAAUAGAUGAUGAGUCAGCGAACCAAUACAAAUUUACAAAUUUUAUCCCACUGAAAAUGCCAGCGUUAGCAGCAAACCCCCAAAAUUUCCACCUGUUAUCUUGAGCUUCAACUGACCGUUGCAUAUUCUGGUUUCUCCUCUCACAUAGCUUGUCAAAUUUCAAAUGGACAUACUGCUCUCUGCAAAGGGUUUCUGCUCCUGGAGACACUGUCUCUGCAUCACCAAACACCUUUCCUCACACCACUCCCAAACCCUAAUUAGUAGAUUUUUCAUUCGUGGCAUUUGGAGGAGGGCCUUCAGUGUACAAGCUCUCCCAGGGAAGCCCCAUGGCUGCUUAAAAUUGCGCUCUGAGAUUGGCGCAAAAGAAGCUGCGGAGAGCUUGAAAGAGAGGAAGGGAGGGCUUGAGUUGAAUGACGAACAGCUCUCGGCUGUUGAAAUUGAUGCGCCGUAUGUUCGGGUGAUCGCGGGGCCAGGGUCUGGGAAAACUAGGGUUUUGACGUUCAGGAUCCUUCACAUGAUUAGGAAACUCAAUGUGGACCCUUCUUCCAUACUGUGCCUAGCAUUCACAGAUAAAGCAGCUAAGGAGAUUUAUGAGAGACUGAACUGUCCCCUUGAGGCUGAUCUUAUGGAUCCGCUCAUGGUCGGAACAGUACAUAGUGUUUGUUCAAGAAUUUUAAGAGACUCAAUGCAUACACUGAACAUUGGUUUGGACAGUGAUUAUAGCAUAUGUGAUGACACCCAAUCUCUGAAUGUUGUUAAUAGAAUUCUGAAAGAGGCAUUUAAAUCAUGUGCGGAAGAAACAUGUUCUGUCAAGAAAGUUGACGAGGGAGAGUACCAGAAUGUGGCAACUCAAUUAGAACAUUUGGAUGAAUCACAAUUUGCACUACAUGAAGAUCUCUUAGCAUGCAAGUUCUUAGUGGAUGGUACCCCUGACCGAUCAUGGUUACUGCAGUAUAGACCAAACACUGAUGGGAAGUUUCUUAGUACUGUUCCAUCGAAACUUUUGCUACAAGAAAUAAAUAAUGCGAGAUCAUGUAGGAUAAAAAACUUUAUUGCCAAAAGUAGGGGUAGCUUUUUGCAUGGCUUUGGUCUUCCUCCUCCUUGCAGUGACUUCUCCCACAAAAUAUCCAAAGUUUAUGAGAGGGAACUCAGGAGAUCUGGAGCUGUGGAUUUUAAUGAUCUUCUGUAUCUUACAUGUCAGAUGUUUCACAUGAGACCGCAUCUAUUGCAAAAAUAUCGACAACAAUGGUCUCAUGUGCUUGUCGACGAAUUUCAGGAUAUUGAUGAUGUUCAAUAUGAGAUAAUACGACUUCUAGCAUCAGGAAAUGGCAGCCUUUUUGUUGUUGGCGAUUCAGAUCAAGCAAUCUAUGAAUGGCGUGGGGCAAAUCCUAGAUACAUGCAAUAUGCAUUGGAAAAAGACUUUCCAGAAGUUAUUUCCCUUCAGCUUCUCAGAAACUAUCGUUCAUCCAGAAAUAUUUUGAACCUAGCUUCUGUUCUUUUGAAAUUCAUCCAUGGGAGAAAAGAGAUUUUGAAUCAUGAGAUUCAUCACCUUCUUGCAACGAAGGAUCAGGGAGAGCCUAUCUGCAUUAAAGAGUUCUUAAUUCCCCAAGAAGAAGCUAACUUUGUGGCAUCUGAAAUAAAAAGCCGCUGGGUUGACCAAAGAAAUUUUUCUGAUAGCUUUGCUGUUCUUUACCGCACUCAUCAACAAUCUUCUCUGUUUGAAAUCUCUCUUCGGCAAAUGGGCAUUCCAUGUACUGUGGUUGAUGGCUCUAGUUUCUUUCAUCAUGUGGAAAUAAAGUGUGUUCUAGCAUAUCUGCAUUUGACAUGUGAUUUCCGCAACCCAGAUUCAAUGGAAUAUGUACUACAGCGACCUAGACGUGGGAUUGGACCAAAAACAAUAUCCUGCUUGAGAGAUUGGAUUUUACAGCAAAAUUUAACUUUGGAAGAAGCAUUGCAGGAACUCUGUGACAAAUCAGAUACUUUUAACGAGUUCAAAAUUAGCAAAACGGCAAGGGUGCAUCUGAUUCAUUUUUUUCAAUUGAUCAAAGGGCUUCAGCAAAUGAGCACUAUACUGCCCAUUGAUAAACUGGUUGAAGCCAUCAUUGAAAGAACAGGUUUAAGGGACUACAUAAAAACAACCCAAAAGGAUGCUGAAACUUCCCGUAAACGUUUGGCUCGACUGUCCUAUCUUAAGGAAUUUGCAGGUUCAGUAAGAAAGAAAUAUGGUAUUGGAAUUUCAUCUCCGAAAGAGUUUAUUAGAGACAUUUCACUCAUCCAAGAGAAUGAACUCAUGGGGCCAGAAAUUAAUCAGACAGUUAAACUCAUGACACUGCAUGCAGCCAAGGGAUUAGAGUUUGACUAUGUGUUUAUUGUGGGAUUGGAAGAAGGGCUUCUGCCUGUCUUUAAUAAUAAUAUUGCAGAGGAGCGGCGGCUACUUUAUGUUGGGAUUACAAGGGCAAAAAAGCUACUGUACUUAACAUUUUCAAAGACCACUAUCGGUCAGAAUGGUUUGAAGAAAGCAAGGCCAUCUAUAUUUCUAAAAGAAAUUCUUGGAUCCCAAGAGCUCAGUGUUGUCAUUUGAUGACAUCAAAUGAAGUCGGUCUCCACAUGCUGAUCAAUAGAGUAUGAGGCUCUUAUAUAGAAGAGCCAUCAAUCAGGUGCAAAUCUUACCUGUGCACUUUCGAAAGGUUUUCAGUUGCAACCUACUCAUCGAAGAUGGCUAUGUGGCAAGAGGUACAUGAAGAUUUCGUGUUGUUCGUAGACCAGAUGGCAUUGGUGAGGUUAGCUGUUUCAGGCAUGUGCUUGUUGUUUGUGUGGAUGCUUUUGGAGCCAACAAACCACAUGGUAAAAACCUCUCCAUGGACAGGUACUGAUAAGUUCCAGCCAAAAAAUUUAACUUGCCAGCGACGCCGUGAUUUGAUCCAUGGAUGAAUCUGGCAAAUGAAAGAGAAUGAUUAAAUCAUGACUAAUUUAUUGACUUUUUAUUAGACAAAUUGCAUGAAAAACAGAGGAAAACAUUAGAAAAAGGUGGUUGCGAUGAAAGAAGGCAUAACCUUUGAAAAAAUGGAUAUGUUACAUUGAACAAAUUUUGCUCGUGUAUUCCUCAUAAUGCUUAAUAUAAAAAGAACAUGAUAAAAAGAGGACAAAGAAAUCAACUUUUUUAGGAAAAGGAGUGGAGCAUCUUGGCCUUUAUAUAAGAGAUUGGGAUACUUCAGU
Molecule: RNA transcript, 3247 nt
Organism: Amborella trichopoda
Lineage: Eukaryota; Viridiplantae; Streptophyta; Magnoliopsida; Amborellales; Amborellaceae
Source: RefSeq, a predicted model, not a curated record